RNAcentral lists this ribosomal RNA (253 nucleotides) under uncultured bacterium. RNAcentral describes it as "partial 16S ribosomal RNA". It matches the Rfam family "Bacterial small subunit ribosomal RNA", at positions 524 to 776 of the family's 1533-position model. The record is from RNAcentral.
UACGGGGGGGGCAAGCGUUGUUCGGAAUUACUGGGCGUAAAGGGCUCGUAGGUGGCCAACUAAGUCAGACGUGAAAUCCCUCGGCUUAACCGGGGAACUGCGUCUGAUACUGGAUGGCUUGAGUUUGGGAGAGGGAUGCGGAAUUCCUGGUGUAGCGGUGAAAUGCGUAGAUAUCAGGAGGAAUACCAGUGGCGAAGGCGGCAUCCUGGCCAUGUCCUGACGCUCAGGGGCGAAAGCGUGGGGAGCAAACCGG